Molecule: ribosomal RNA, 484 nt
Filed under: uncultured bacterium
Lineage: Bacteria
Description: partial 16S ribosomal RNA
Rfam family: Bacterial small subunit ribosomal RNA
Source: RNAcentral
AUUGAACGCUGGCGGCAGGCCUAACACAUGCAAUUCGAGCGGUUGAAGUUAUCUUUCUCCUGUUUUCAUCUUCGGACUGUUGUUUAUUUCCUAUUUAUCUCCCUGUUUUUUUUUUAUAACUUCCUUAAACGGGCCCUAUUACCCCAUUCUUCCUUUUGUAUAACUUGUUGGUUCUUCGGACCUCCCCCUUUCUUUUGUUCCUAUGUCGUAUUAGCUAUUUGGUUGGGUAAAGGCCUACCAAGGCUACGAUCCGUAACUGGUCUGAGAGGAUGAUCAGUCACACUGGAACUGAGACACGGUCCAGACUACUACGGGAGGCAGCAGUGGGGAAUAUUGGACAAUGGGCGAAAGCAUGAUCCAGAAAUGCCGAGUGUGUGAAGAAGGUCUUCGGAUUGUAAAGAAAUUUAAGUUGGGAGGAAGGGAAGUAAGUUAAUAACUUGCUGUUUUGACGUUAACAAAAGAAUAAGCACCGGCUAACUUCGUG